This 497-nucleotide ribosomal RNA is filed under the name uncultured bacterium. Its description in RNAcentral is "partial 16S ribosomal RNA". It matches the Rfam family "Bacterial small subunit ribosomal RNA", at positions 28 to 507 of the family's 1533-position model. The record is from RNAcentral.
GAUGAACGCUGGCGGCGUGCCUAAUACAUGCAAGUCGAGCGAACAGACGAGGAGCUUGCUCCUCUGACGUUAGCGGCGGACGGGUGAGUAACACGUGGAUAACCUACCUAUAAGACUGGGAUAACUUCGGGAAACCGGAGCUAAUACCGGAUAAUAUAUUGAACCGCAUGGUUCAAUAGUGAAAGACGGUUUUGCUGUCACUUAUAGAUGGAUCCGCGCCGCAUUAGCUAGUUGGUAAGGUAACGGCUUACCAAGGCAACGAUGCGUAGCCGACCUGAGAGGGUGAUCGGCCACACUGGAACUGAGACACGGUCCAGACUCCUACGGGAGGCAGCAGUAGGGAAUCUUCCGCAAUGGGCGGAAGCCUGACGGGGCAACGCCGCGGGAGUGAUGAAGGUCUUCGGAUCGUAAAACUUUGUUAUUAGGGAAGAACAAAUGUGUAAGUAACUAUGCACGUCUUGACGGUACCUAAUCAGAAAGCCACGGCUAACUACGUG